AUCACACGCAUGCCAUCGAAAAUGUCAGGUGCUGAUGAUUGAAUCAACGACCAUUAUAUAUUUAUUCCUUGUCAGGAGUAUUCGUUUCUUUAGCUGUUCGAUUUUUUUUUGCGAUUAUCUACAUACUACUAGAGUUUGGUUGAGUUCGAUCAUCACUAAUUAUCGUAUCAUAUUUUAAAAAAAUUUGUUCCAAGAAUGUUGGUAUGUGGUAUCCUGAUCGAAAAUCGAUCUUGUAGGAUGUUCAUGUUUUAUUUGUUUUGGUUUUUAUUUUGCUUUGUUUUUAUUUUAUUUAUUUUUUGAAUUUGAGGUUCCAAAGAAAUUUAUUUGUACUUGCUAUGUUUGAUGGUGGUU
RNAcentral lists this long non-coding RNA (351 nucleotides) under Carica papaya (papaya). RNAcentral's name for it is "long non-coding RNA (CPAP_LNC012838)". The record is from RNAcentral. Lineage: Eukaryota; Viridiplantae; Streptophyta; Magnoliopsida; Brassicales; Caricaceae.